This 1102-nucleotide long non-coding RNA is filed under the name Nicotiana benthamiana. RNAcentral's name for it is "long non-coding RNA (NBEN_LNC016297)". The record is from RNAcentral. Lineage: Eukaryota; Viridiplantae; Streptophyta; Magnoliopsida; Solanales; Solanaceae.
AUGUGGUGGUGGAAAGCAUUCUAUGCAUCAGGCUCUGUUGCUCUCUAUGUGUUCCUGUACUCCAUCAAUUACUUGGUUUUUGACCUCCAGAGCUUGAGUGGCCCAGUAUCAGCUAUACUUUACCUUGGCUACUCUUUGAUAAUGGCUGUUGCGAUCAUGCUGUCAACUGCCACUAUUGGCUUCCUCACAUCAUUUUACUUCGUGCAUUAUCUUUUCUCAUCAGUGAAGAUCGACUAAAUGGUUCUGCAGGGUGAUUACUGUUGUUGGAUGGCUAAAGACCUGUUCUGUCUUGUCAAAGUUUACCUAGUCCUGCCAGAAAGAGUAUCUGAACUGCAGCCAAGCCCCUUUGUACUUCCUAUUUUACUGCGGCUACUCUUUGAUAAUGGCAGUCGCAAUCAUGCUGUCAACUGGCACUAUCGGCUUCCUCACAUCAUUUUACUUUGUGCAUUAUCUUUUCUCAUCAGUGAAGAUUGACUAAAUGGUUCUGCAGGGUGAUUACUAUUGUUGGAUGGCUAAAGACCUGUUGUAUCUUGUCAAAAUUUACCUAGUCCUGCCAGAAAGAGUAUCUGAACUGCAGCCAAGGACCUUUGUACUUCCUAUUUUACUGUCAUAUUCUGAGGCUAGAUAUUGUGUUUUAAUCACAUUUUCCCAUAUUUCUUGUAUCUUGAUAACUGCUACUUCCAAUGGAGAAAUUACCAGAGAACUGAUUUUAGCUGAUUAUCUUACUUUGUAAUUGGAAUGGAUGAAAGGUUUAAGGUGGUUUUGUUCCAUUCACUCUUGGAACGAAUACUCUGGCUAUAUUUGGGUUAAUAUCAAAGUCCAUGCAUAUAUUUGGUACUUCUUGUUGCUACAUCUUAUCAUGUGUUGGUUACUGUGUGACUAAUUACAUGGAUUUGUCAUGCGGCCGGAUAGUUUAUUUUCUCAAAUGCACUCUUUCUGAGCUCCAUUGGUAUUCAAAGUGAUUUCUAGCUUGUGUUCUGACAUUGGUCGUGUUGUAAUUUUUGGAAACAUAGAGAAACUGUGGGGAAAUAACCGUCCAUUGAUACACUUUGCUGGUCGCUUGGUACUGAAUAGUGUAUAUUUUGUUUCAUUUAUAACCAGC